Molecule: transfer RNA, 63 nt
Filed under: Campanulotes compar (small pigeon louse)
Lineage: Eukaryota; Metazoa; Arthropoda; Insecta; Psocodea; Philopteridae
Description: tRNA-Tyr
Source: RNAcentral
GGAAUAUUAGUUUAUGAAAAAUAUUAUACUGUAAAUAUGAAGAUGGGUAGUUCUUAUGUUCCA